Molecule: ribosomal RNA, 496 nt
Filed under: uncultured bacterium
Lineage: Bacteria
Description: partial 16S ribosomal RNA
Rfam family: Bacterial small subunit ribosomal RNA
Source: RNAcentral
AUGCACGCUGGCGGCGUGCCUCAUACAUGCCAGUCGAGCGAACAGAUGAGGAGCUUGCUCCUCUGACGUUAGCGGCGGACGGGUGAGUAACACGUGGAUAACCUACCUAUAAGACUGGGAUAACUUCGGGAAACCGGAGCUAAUACCGGAUAAUAUAUUGAACCGCAUGGUUCAAUAGUGAAAGACGGUUUUGCUGUCACUUAUAGAUGGAUCCGCGCCGCAUUAGCUAGUUGGUAAGGUAACGGCUUACCAAGGCAACGAUGCGUAGCCGACCUGAGAGGGUGAUCGGCCACACUGGAACUGAGACACGGUCCAGACUCCUACGGGAGGCAGCAGUAGGGAAUCUUCCGCAAUGGGCGAAAGCCUGACGGAGCAACGCCGCGUGAGUGAUGAAGGUCUUCGGAUCGUAAAACUCUGUUAUUAGGGAAGAACAAAUGUGUAAGUAACUAUGCACGUCUUGACGGUACCUAAUCAGAAAGCCACGGCUAACUACGUG